AUUGAACGCUGGCGGAAUGCUUUACACAUGCAAGUCGAACGGCAGCACGGGGGCAACCCUGGUGGCGAGUGGCGAACGGGUGAGUAAUACAUCGGAACGUGCCCAGUCGUUGGGGAUAACGUAGCGAAAGUUACGCUAAUACCGCAUACGAUCUACGGAUGAAAGCGGGGGAUCGCAAGACCUCGCGCGAUUGGAGCGGCCGAUAUCAGAUUAGGUAGUUGGUGGGGUAAAGGCCCACCAAGCCAACGAUCUGUAGCUGGUCUGAGAGGACGACCAGCCACACUGGAACUGAGACACGGUCCAGACUCCUACGGGAGGCAGCAGUGGGGAAUUUUGGACAAUGGGCGAAAGCCUGAUCCAGCCAUUCCGCGUGCAGGAUGAAGGCCCUCGGGUUGUAAACUGCUUUUGUACAGAACGAAAAGGUUGCUACUAAUACUAGGAGCUCAUGACGGUACUGUAAGAAUAAGCACCGGCUAACUACGUGCCAGCAGCCGCGGUAA
Molecule: ribosomal RNA, 500 nt
Filed under: uncultured bacterium
Lineage: Bacteria
Description: partial 16S ribosomal RNA
Rfam family: Bacterial small subunit ribosomal RNA
Source: RNAcentral